Molecule: ribosomal RNA, 40 nt
Filed under: Leucocoprinus gongylophorus
Lineage: Eukaryota; Fungi; Basidiomycota; Agaricomycetes; Agaricales; Agaricaceae
Description: Leucoagaricus gongylophorus partial 28S ribosomal RNA
Source: RNAcentral
GAAUAUCUUGACCUCAAAUCAGGUGGGACUACCCGCUGAC